CCGAGUUUACAACUCCCAAACCCCUGUGAACAUAUCUUUAUGUUGCCUCGGCGGAUCAGCCCGCGCCCCGGUAAUAAACGGGACGGCCCGCCGCAGGAAACCCUAAACUCUGUUUUUAGUGGAACUUCUGAGUAUAAUAAAAAACAAAAUAAAUCA
RNAcentral lists this unclassified non-coding RNA (156 nucleotides) under soil metagenome. RNAcentral describes it as "partial internal transcribed spacer 1". The record is from RNAcentral.